UUAAGCGACUAAGCGUACACGGUGGAUGCCCUGGCAGUCAGAGGCGAUGAAGGACGUGCUAAUCUGCGAUAAGCGUCGGUAAGGUGAUAUGAACCGUUAUAACCGGCGAUUUCCGAAUGGGGAAACCCAGUGUGUUUCGACACACUAUCAUUAACUGAAUCCAUAGGUUAAUGAGGCGAACCGGGGGAACUGAAACAUCUAAGUACCCCGAGGAAAAGAAAUCAACCGAGAUUCCCCCAGUAGCGGCGAGCGAACGGGGAGCAGCCCAGAGCCUGAAUCAGUGUGUGUGUUAGUGGAAGCGUCUGGAAAGGCGUGCGAUACAGGGUGACAGCCCCGUACACAAAAAUGCACAUGCUGUGAGCUCGAUGAGUAGGGCGGGACACGUGGUAUCCUGUCUGAAUAUGGGGGGACCAUCCUCCAAGGCUAAAUACUCCUGACUGACCGAUAGUGAACCAGUACCGUGAGGGAAAGGCGAAAAGAACCCCGGCGAGGGGAGUGAAAAAGAACCUGAAACCGUGUACGUACAAGCAGUGGGAGCACGCUUAGGCGUGUGACUGCGUACCUUUUGUAUAAUGGGUCAGCGACUUAUAUUCUGUAGCAAGGUUAACCGAAUAGGGGAGCCGAAGGGAAACCGAGUCUUAACUGGGCGUUAAGUUGCAGGGUAUAGACCCGAAACCCGGUGAUCUAGCCAUGGGCAGGUUGAAGGUUGGGUAACACUAACUGGAGGACCGAACCGACUAAUGUUGAAAAAUUAGCGGAUGACUUGUGGCUGGGGGUGAAAGGCCAAUCAAACCGGGAGAUAGCUGGUUCUCCCCGAAAGCUAUUUAGGUAGCGCCUCGUGAAUUCAUCUCCGGGGGUAGAGCACUGUUUCGGCAAGGGGGUCAUCCCGACUUACCAACCCGAUGCAAACUGCGAAUACCGGAGAAUGUUAUCACGGGAGACACACGGCGGGUGCUAACGUCCGUCGUGAAGAGGGAAACAACCCAGACCGCCAGCUAAGGUCCCAAAGUCAUGGUUAAGUGGGAAACGAUGUGGGAAGGCCCAGACAGCCAGGAUGUUGGCUUAGAAGCAGCCAUCAUUUAAAGAAAGCGUAAUAGCUCACUGGUCGAGUCGGCCUGCGCGGAAGAUGUAACGGGGCUAAACCAUGCACCGAAGCUGCGGCAGCGACGCUGAUGCGUUGUUGGGUAGGGGAGCGUUCUGUAAGCCUGCGAAGGUGUGCUGUGAGGCAUGCUGGAGGUAUCAGAAGUGCGAAUGCUGACAUAAGUAACGAUAAAGCGGGUGAAAAGCCCGCUCGCCGGAAGACCAAGGGUUCCUGUCCAACGUUAAUCGGGGCAGGGUGAGUCGACCCCUAAGGCGAGGCCGAAAGGCGUAGUCGAUGGGAAACAGGUUAAUAUUCCUGUACUUGGUGUUACUGCGAAGGGGGGACGGAGAAGGCUAUGUUGGCCGGGCGACGGUUGUCCCGGUUUAAGCGUGUAGGCUGGUUUUCCAGGCAAAUCCGGAAAAUCAAGGCUGAGGCGUGAUGACGAGGCACUACGGUGCUGAAGCAACAAAUGCCCUGCUUCCAGGAAAAGCCUCUAAGCAUCAGGUAACAUCAAAUCGUACCCCAAACCGACACAGGUGGUCAGGUAGAGAAUACCAAGGCGCUUGAGAGAACUCGGGUGAAGGAACUAGGCAAAAUGGUGCCGUAACUUCGGGAGAAGGCACGCUGAUAUGUAGGUGAAGUCCCUCGCGGAUGGAGCUGAAAUCAGUCGAAGAUACCAGCUGGCUGCAACUGUUUAUUAAAAACACAGCACUGUGCAAACACGAAAGUGGACGUAUACGGUGUGACGCCUGCCCGGUGCCGGAAGGUUAAUUGAUGGGGUNGCGAAGCUCUUGAUCGAAGCCCCGGUAAACGGCGGCCGUAACUAUAACGGUCCUAAGGUAGCGAAAUUCCUUGUCGGGUAAGUUCCGACCUGCACGAAUGGCGUAAUGAUGGCCAGGCUGUCUCCACCCGAGACUCAGUGAAAUUGAACUCGCUGUGAAGAUGCAGUGUACCCGCGGCAAGACGGAAAGACCCCGUGAACCUUUACUAUAGCUUGACACUGAACAUUGAGCCUUGAUGUGUAGGAUAGGUGGGAGGCUUUGAAGUGUGGACGCCAGUCUGCAUGGAGCCGACCUUGAAAUACCACCCUUUAAUGUUUGAUGUUCUAACGUNAUCCGGGUUGCGGACAGUGUCUGGUGGGUAGUUUGACUGGGGCGGUCUCCUCCUAAAGAGUAACGGAGGAGCACGAAGGUUGGCUAAUCCUGGUCGGACAUCAGGAGGUUAGUGCAAUGGCAUAAGCCAGCUUGACUGCGAGCGUGACGGCGCGAGCAGGUGCGAAAGCAGGUCAUAGUGAUCCGGUGGUUCUGAAUGGAAGGGCCAUCGCUCAACGGAUAAAAGGUACUCCGGGGAUAACAGGCUGAUACCGCCCAAGAGUUCAUAUCGACGGCGGUGUUUGGCACCUCGAUGUCGGCUCAUCACAUCCUGGGGCUGAAGUAGGUCCCAAGGGUAUGGCUGUUCGCCAUUUAAAGUGGUACGCGAGCUGGGUUUAGAACGUCGUGAGACAGUUCGGUCCCUAUCUGCCGUGGGCGCUGGAGAACUGAGGGGGGCUGCUCCUAGUACGAGAGGACCGGAGUGGACGCAUCACUGGUGUUCGGGUUGUCAUGCCAAUGGCACUGCCCGGUAGCUAAAUGCGGAAGAGAUAAGUGCUGAAAGCAUCUAAGCACGAAACUUGCCCCGAGAUGAGUUCUCCCUGAC
RNAcentral lists this ribosomal RNA (2776 nucleotides) under Escherichia coli. RNAcentral describes it as "bacterial LSU rRNA". It matches the Rfam family "Bacterial large subunit ribosomal RNA". The record is from RNAcentral. Lineage: Bacteria; Pseudomonadati; Pseudomonadota; Gammaproteobacteria; Enterobacterales; Enterobacteriaceae.